CCUGUCGUGACAAGUUCAAAGUAGGAGUCUGAACUUGAAAUUCUUAGUAAACUAAUAUUCUAGUUCUAUCCUCUAAUUUUGUAAAAUUAAGGCCCACAGAGCCCAAAAGGUUUUUGCCACAGAACUGUCAAAAAACUGGCUUUGCAUCUGAUCCUGUCUUUUCUCCAAAGCAGACAAGCUUCAUAUCGAAGGGAAGGGUGGAGUGCCAAAUUCUGGGAGGCAUCUAGCUCCUGUCCUUCCAUAAAACAGCCACAUACCACGGCGGCCCACUUCCCUUACACCGGAACAUUAAAGCUGCACAAGCUUCUAACUUACGAUGUGAUUCACACUCGAUCAAAACUCAAGCCUCACUUACAAGCUUCUGAUCCUAACAACCAUUGCAUACAGGAUCCCCUCGGAGCAAGCCUCUCAGGGACCAAGAGUGAUGUGGUAAAGGAUCCCGCCCAGACCGAAUAAGACCGGUCUUUCCUUAGAAGCACAAGUAGCAUUUCACCCAUGCGGCCUUUCACCUUCCCGUCUGUCCUGGCAUAGCGCCUCCCGUGUCCUGGGUAGAUCUUGUACCCGCUGAAACUGCACAGCUCGACCCUGUAAUGAAAAACGAAAGCCCAUUAGAUGGGGAGGGGUGUCCUCGACAAGGAGAAGCCAUGUCUGGGAAGCCGGAGAGGCACUCCGUCCGAAGAUGGAAGAGGAUUGGGACCGAGGGCCCCUGCUUACUUCAUGGCUGCGUAGGGGCCGAGAGAAGGGAAAAUGGCGAAGAGAAAGAAAGAAUCAUGGGAAGACGCCUUAUAAGGUCGUGGAAAGCAACCUCCUCCCACAAUCCCCUUCCGCAACCCCGGCGCUCUGUGAUGACGUCAUCUCGCCUAGGCAACAGAUCUAGCGUUCCCCAGAGGCCGCCUUCCUCCGGAGUGAUUGCCCUGGAGACGUCAAGGCUCUCCAGGCGAUGGGGGAGUGACGGUCACGCAGGCAGGCAGGCCGGCAGGCAGUUGGUUUCCGAGUCAUUCUGUCUCCUACAUUCAUGUGUCACAGAGCCGUCGUCCUGGUGCAGGGAAUGUGAACUGAAGAGAAGGGGGUCCUCUCUUAUAGUUCAGUGAUGCACGGAUGAAUACUGCGCAGGUUACUUAAGAAAUGGCGGAUGCAAGAGGGAUACUUUGAACCUCCUCUCCGUCCCUCUGGAAGCAGGACAUAAAUCUCCAUAACUCCCUCACUAUAUUGUACCAGAAGGCAAAAGGCUCAGCUGCAUUUGAUUUUCUUUUAUGUAUUUAUGAAGCAAUACUGAACCAAAGUUGGUGCUCUCUGGGCCUCUAAAUACUUCCUGAGAACAGAGCAUUCUCUUCACUGUUUCUUCACCUUUUAUACAUACUCGCCUGCUGUAUUAGUAUCCUGUGGUUGCUGGAACAAAUUACCACAGAUUUGUUGGCUUAAAGCAUCGGAAAUGUGUUCUUUUGCAGUUCUGAAGGCUGGAAGUCUGAAACCAGUAUCACUGGGCUGAAAUCAAGGUAUUUGUGCUCGCUUCAGAGGCUCAGGGGCAGAACAUGUUUCUUGCUCUUCUGGUUUCCACCCAGAUAAACCCUUUUGAAUUCCUAACCCAUAGAAAUGGUGAGAUCAUUAAUGUUUCUUGUUUUAAACUGCUGUGUUUUAGGAAUAAUAUGUGAACAUAGCAAUAGAUAAUUAAUGCAGGAGGUAAGGAAAUUGUGAAGAUGGAGACUUGGUGAAUAGUGGUAUUUGUCAAAAGAGGACUGAUAGGAGGAAGGAGCGUGUUUGUGAGGGAAAAGGUCAGUUUGGGAAAGACCAGGUCAGUGUACCCAUCAGAUGUUAUGGUGGAGCUGUGUGGUGGGAAGAUAAACAAGUUCAGAGGAGUGUUUGGAAUAGGAUAUAUCUUAGGAGUAAUGGACCUAUAGGUGAUAGUAGAAUAUGGGGGAUAACAUCACCUAGUGUCACAGGCUGUCUUCUCUGGGAGCACUUAUUGAGACUGAGUUUAAAAUAAAAGAAACUUAUUAGGGGUCAGGUCCUAUGAAAGGAAGAUGGAGGAAGCAGUAUUAGGCAGAAGGUAAAGACAUUACUGGCCCAAUUAAACUUCCGUCAACCCUGCCAUGAGCUCUGGAACAAUCAUUGCCUGUCAGAUUAUCCCUUUAUGAGUCAAAUAAUCAAUUCUCUUUAUACCCCCACCUUGCUUAGUCAGCAGAUGUGGGUUGCCCCAGAGAGUUUAUGAGGUGGUUCUCAGCAGCUGAGCCAGACCCUACUGACAGCUGGAGAAUGCUGCUGACUACCAUGUCCACUGCUGGGCCACAAGCCCUUGCUUGUAGAGGGAUCUGGAGAGUGCAUCCUUGUAUCUACCACCCCUGGAAAGAGUGGCUAGAGAGAGUUGCAGAAAGGAAUUGGGAAGUACCUACAUUUAAGGGAUAGGGAAAUGGAGAAAGAAUCUACUGAAAGAGACUGAGGAGAUGAGGUCAAAGGAAAUAGAUAGCCCUGACAGUCAUCCCACAGAAGCCUAGGACAAGUUUUGACAGCAUUAAAAGUCAGAAACAGUCAAAGACAACAGGAAUGUGCAAACACGAAUACACACUUUGGAACGACUUAGGUACCAAUCUUAGUAUUUCCUUCCAAUAUCAUUCUCUUCUCAGGUGUGGGAGGGGUCCUGCCUUUUUAGUAUCUACAACCACAGUUCUCAGCAGGCCAAUCAAUCCCAAGACUCUCAGGCGUUGGCUUCCAGGAGGGCUUUGAAAGGAAGGCCUAGUAACUAGAUUAGAAAAUAACUAGGUGUAAAAAUUACUCAGUAAACACUUACGAAGCUUUCCUUAAAAUUCUGAAGCAUUAUUAAAUUUAAAAAUUUUAAAACAUUCUUUAAAAAAAUCUAAUCAAGCCUUCAUACCUACCUACCAAUUAUG
Molecule: non-coding RNA, 2885 nt
Organism: Vicugna pacos (alpaca)
Lineage: Eukaryota; Metazoa; Chordata; Mammalia; Artiodactyla; Camelidae
Source: RefSeq, a predicted model, not a curated record